Molecule: ribosomal RNA, 486 nt
Filed under: Acinetobacter baumannii OIFC083
Lineage: Bacteria; Pseudomonadati; Pseudomonadota; Gammaproteobacteria; Moraxellales; Moraxellaceae
Description: bacterial SSU rRNA
Rfam family: Bacterial small subunit ribosomal RNA
Source: RNAcentral
ACGCUGGCGGCAGGCUUAACACAUGCAAGUCGAGCGGGGGAAGGUAGCUUGCUACCGGACCUAGCGGCGGACGGGUGAGUAAUGCUUAGGAAUCUGCCUAUUAGUGGGGGACAACAUCUCGAAAGGGAUGCUAAUACCGCAUACGUCCUACGGGAGAAAGCAGGGGAUCUUCGGACCUUGCGCUAAUAGAUGAGCCUAAGUCGGAUUAGCUAGUUGGUGGGGUAAAGGCCUACCAAGGCGACGAUCUGUAGCGGGUCUGAGAGGAUGAUCCGCCACACUGGGACUGAGACACGGCCCAGACUCCUACGGGAGGCAGCAGUGGGGAAUAUUGGACAAUGGGGGGAACCCUGAUCCAGCCAUGCCGCGUGUGUGAAGAAGGCCUUAUGGUUGUAAAGCACUUUAAGCGAGGAGGAGGCUACUUUAGUUAAUACCUAGAGAUAGUGGACGUUACUCGCAGAAUAAGCACCGGCUAACUCUGUGCCAGCA